AGGAUAAACGCUGGCGGCGUGCCUAACACAUGCAAGUCGAACGUCUCUUCUUUCGGGAAGAGGAGUGGCGGACGGGUGAGGAACACGUGGGAACCUGCCCUCCAGUGAGGAAUACCGGCGAGAAAUCGCCGACAAGACCGCAUAGCCCUCUCUGGUGAGAGCCAGAGAAGGAAAGCUUCGCAAGAGGCGCUGGAGGAGGGGCCUGCGUCCGAUUAGCUAGUUGGUGGGGUGAUGGCCUACCAAGGCGACGACGGGUAGCC
Molecule: ribosomal RNA, 260 nt
Filed under: uncultured bacterium
Lineage: Bacteria
Description: partial small subunit ribosomal RNA
Rfam family: Bacterial small subunit ribosomal RNA
Source: RNAcentral